GUCUACGGCCAUACCACCCUGAACGCGCCCGAUCUCGUCUGAUCUCGGAAGCUAAGCAGGGUCGGGCCUGGUUAGUACUUGGAUGGGAGAAUGUGUAUUUAAUAAGCUCCCCAGGAGUUUCACAUG
Molecule: ribosomal RNA, 126 nt
Filed under: Castor canadensis (American beaver)
Lineage: Eukaryota; Metazoa; Chordata; Mammalia; Rodentia; Castoridae
Source: RNAcentral